Molecule: non-coding RNA, 104 nt
Organism: Danio rerio (zebrafish)
Lineage: Eukaryota; Metazoa; Chordata; Actinopteri; Cypriniformes; Danionidae
Source: Rfam
GCCGGCAGCUAGCUCUCUGCAACUCUCCCACUGAAGCUAAGCAGGGCUGCGCCCGGUCAGUACCUGGAUGGGAGACCACAUGGGAAGCUAGGUUGCUGCCGGAA